GGGUUUGUGGCUCAGUGGCAAGAGUGCUUGCCUUUCAUGUAUGAGGUACUGGGUUUGAUCCUCAGCACCA
Non-coding RNA from Ictidomys tridecemlineatus (thirteen-lined ground squirrel), 70 nucleotides. Lineage: Eukaryota; Metazoa; Chordata; Mammalia; Rodentia; Sciuridae. The record is from Rfam.